UAGUCCACGCCGUAAACGAUGUCAACUAGCCGUUGGGAUCCUUGAGAUCUUAGUGGCGCAGCUAACGCAUUAAGUUGACCGCCUGGGGAGUACGGCCGCAAGGUUAAAACUCAAAUGAAUUGACGGGGGCCCGCACAAGCGGUGGAGCAUGUGGUUUAAUUCGAAGCAACGCGAAGAACCUUACCUGGCCUUGACAUGCUGAGAACUUUCCAGAGAUGGAUUGGUGCCUUCGGGAACUCAGACAC
RNAcentral lists this ribosomal RNA (245 nucleotides) under uncultured bacterium. RNAcentral's name for it is "partial 16S ribosomal RNA". It matches the Rfam family "Bacterial small subunit ribosomal RNA", at positions 791 to 1035 of the family's 1533-position model. The record is from RNAcentral.